GGUGGGAUGACGUCAAGGUCAGCAUGGCCUUUAUAUCUUGGGCUACACACACGCUACGAUGGAUGGCACAAUAGGUUGCAACAGCGCGAGCUGAAGCUAAUCCCCAAAGCCAUCCUCAGUACAGAUUGCAGGCUGAAACCCGCCUGCAUGAAGUCGGAGUUGCUAGUAACCGCAAAUCAGCAUGUUGCGGUGAAUACGUUCUCGGCCUU
RNAcentral lists this ribosomal RNA (209 nucleotides) under uncultured Chloroflexota bacterium. Its description in RNAcentral is "uncultured Chloroflexi bacterium partial 16S ribosomal RNA". It matches the Rfam family "Bacterial small subunit ribosomal RNA", at positions 1173 to 1381 of the family's 1533-position model. Lineage: Bacteria; Bacillati; Chloroflexota. The record is from RNAcentral.